This is a non-coding RNA of Nylanderia fulva, 1008 nucleotides long. NCBI's taxonomy places the organism in Eukaryota, Metazoa, Arthropoda, Insecta, Hymenoptera, Formicidae. The record is from RefSeq and is a predicted model, not a curated record.
AAUGAUCAAGCUAAGUUUUCCAUCACACUCCACAUAUAAUUUUAACCAGAAUUAGUUAUAUAUAACAUAUCUGAUAUCAAUAAUACUGAAUUAAUGAAAUAACGAAACUAAUUGUUCAGUGAUAUUAACAAUAGAAUAAUAUAAUAAUUAUUCCCUGUAACACAUCACAGUUCAAAUACAGAAGUAGAAGAAAAAGUCACAGCCAUUUUACUACUAAUUCACAGUUUAUUAAUUAUCAUUAAUUAACAAACUAGAAGUCUAUUCAAUUUUAAAGACAGAUACUAAUCCGAUUUAUAUAUUUCAGUAAAUCCUGAAGAGAGCAUGUUGUAUUGCAAUUACAACUUUCAAUGUUUAGAUUAAAGGAAAGUCACAGUUAUUUUGGUCGAAACAUUAUUCAAUCAGUGCAGUCUUAUAUCCGAAAUCAGACCAUUAAAUACAAUAAUAAUGAUUAUUUAUUAUAACACAUCACAAUGCAGAUGCAAAAUAGAAGAAAGUCACGACUGUAUUAUUAUUAUUUCACAACUUAUUGUUUAUCAUUGACUAAUUAAUUAAAAUCUAUUCAAUUUAAAGUCAGAUACUAAUUUAACUGGUCUAUUUCAGUAAGUUCGAUAUACCUAGUAUUGUUAAUAUUAAAUCAUGUCCACAAGAAGUUCAUCAUACAGCAAAUAACUAUUUAACACCAUAUUCCAAAUUAGAAUAAUAAUAUUGUUUUAUUCAACAGGGUCCCAUUCAGAGUCUAAAGAUGACAUCAGAGCAAUCAUCAUCAAUUUUAAUACAUCCGACUUAACGAAAUACAUAUACCGUAUAAAUAUACACAUAUGUAAAUCUUGGAAUGAAAAGCGACAAUAUCCUCCUCCAGAAGAGCAACAAAUAUGACAGAAGCACUAAUAGGACUUAUCAUUAGAAAGUUUCUUAUACGAUUAUCAAUCCAGACUAAUUGAAGUAAUUAAUGCAUAUCAAUGUCUAUUAUCACAUUAAUAAUAAAGUCACUAAUUAUCAGACCAAUAA